CUUUCGGAAGCUUUUGAUGCCACCAUUGCCUUGGAAGGCCUCACUGGCAAUGGCUUGAAGAAGGCAUCAGAGCCUGGCACCUUCUUAUGGCUUACAGGAGUAAUUGGCAUAGCCAUGGAAACUGCGGAGGUAGAGGCCAUUGCUAUCCUCUCUUUUGCUGUUCCUUGGUUUUUCUUUUCAAAAUUUUAAUUGAAUGGAUGUUGUUUUCAGAAGAUGGAAUUAGAUAUUAGAGGGAGCAUUUGGUGAUGAGAGGUGGGAAAUUUGGGAAGAUUUUGCAAGUGCAUCUUGGUCCUAGGUGGCAACUUCUCCACUCUGUGAGGUAGAUAAGGUUAUCCACUUGUCAUUGCCACUUGUCAUUAAUCAUAUUUUUAUAUGUGUAAAUAUAUGAUACAUUUAUUUACUUCACAAUUGUCCUCAGCAUUCCACCAUCAAGUCAUUUAUAUAGCUAAGAUUUCAUCUAUUAACGAUGAUUUUCAAGUUAAUUUUACUGAUAGGACCAGUAAUUCAUAAGUUAUUUGAUUCUCAUGCCAGACUUUGAUCCCAAGGCAUUUUACAAAGUCUGAGAACGAUCCGGAGAGACUGCGGAGCAAAGAGUGCACACGAGCACAUGUGUAGGCAUGUAAUGCAAAAUCUGCAGCUAAAGACAUCACCAGGUGCUCACCUGCACUACUGUCUCUUUGCAUCUGAUGCUCAUACAUUACCUUCAUUAUUCACCACAAUCACACAUCCCAUCUUCGUCUUGAAUAAUUUUACCGCAUUAAAGCACAAAUUUUCAUCCUCCCCAACCAAAUCGAGCCAAUAGGCUGCAGCGGAUACCGCUCUCUUCCAAUGAUACGAAUUACAUAGAAUUAUUUGGAGUGCAUAACAUACAUGAACCUUCAUUACAUUGGUCAUGUUCCUAUAUUAUUCUGUUCUAUCCGUACGUUGGUGAGGCAUCUGGCUUUUGUAUUGUACCUUCAGUAUUAUAAAUUUAAACUCUGGCAGAGCACAAAUGAAUUCAUAUGCACGUGCUAUCUCCA
Molecule: long non-coding RNA, 1019 nt
Filed under: Daucus carota (carrot)
Lineage: Eukaryota; Viridiplantae; Streptophyta; Magnoliopsida; Apiales; Apiaceae
Description: long non-coding RNA (DCAR_LNC005546)
Source: RNAcentral